GUGCCAGCCGCCGCGGUAAUACGGAAGGAGCAAGCGUUGUUCGGAUUUAUUGGGCGUAAAGGGAGCGUAGGUGGUUGAUUAAGUGGGGCUUUCCAGCACUCGGCUUAACCGAGUGAUUGGCUCCAAACUGGUCAACUUGAGUCCGCUAGGGGAUACUGGAAUUCCGGGUGUAGGGGUGAAAUCUACAGAGAUCCGGAGGAACACCGAUGGCGAAGGCAGGUAUCUGGGGCUGGACUGACACUGAGGCUCGAAAGCCAGGGGAGCAAACGGGAUUAGAUACCCCAGUAGUCC
Molecule: ribosomal RNA, 291 nt
Filed under: uncultured bacterium
Lineage: Bacteria
Description: partial 16S ribosomal RNA
Rfam family: Bacterial small subunit ribosomal RNA
Source: RNAcentral